RNAcentral lists this ribosomal RNA (525 nucleotides) under uncultured bacterium. RNAcentral describes it as "bacterial SSU rRNA". It matches the Rfam family "Bacterial small subunit ribosomal RNA", at positions 21 to 518 of the family's 1533-position model. The record is from RNAcentral.
GGUUCAGGACGAACGCUGGCGGCGUGCCUAAUACAUGCAAGUCGAACGGUCUUUCUAUGGAAGCUUGCUUCCACUGAGAAGAUAGUGGCGAACGGGUGAGUAACACGUGGGUAACCUGCCCAUAAGAGGGGGGAUAACAUCCGGAAACGGGUGCUAAUACCGCAUAGUUUUCUUGAUCGCAUGAUCGGGAAAGGAAAGACGGCCUUUGUGCUGUCGCUUAUGGAUGGACCCGCGGCGUAUUAGUUAGUUGGUGAGGUAACGGCUCACCAAGACGAUGAUACGUAGCCGACCUGAGAGGGUGAUCGGCCACAUUGGGACUGAGACACGGCCCAAACUCCUACGGGAGGCAGCAGUAGGGAAUCUUCCGCAAUGGACGAAAGUCUGACGGAGCAACGCCGCGUGAGUGAAGAAAGGUUUUCGGAUCGUAAAACUCUGUUGUCAGAGAAGAACAAGUUGGAGAGUAACUGCUCCAGCCUUGACGGUAUCUGACCAGAAAGCCACGGCUAACUACGUGCCAGCAGCGGC